UUCGAUUUCCCAUGGCUCAACAAAGCCGCCUCCACCUCGACCCCAAACCCUAACCCGAGCAAGCCCAACAAUCCAAACCCCUUCCUCCCCAUCCAGUCCCACCUCACCUCCUUCCUCUCCUCCCUCCCCCUCCCACGGGCCAUUGCGCCGCCAUGGGCUCGCAUCCCCUCCCCAUCUUCGUCGGCGGCGCUGCCAGUCGCCGAGAUCGAGGACCGGCUCGCCGGGGUGCCCGUGUACGCCCUCGCUAAUUCCGCCCAGGAAUUUAUGCUCGUGUCGAAAACCCACAGGGGCGGGGGAGGGGAUGUGGCCGGCGGUGUGGGCGGAAGCGCGAGGCAUCCACCGGCGCUCGGGAUGCUCUGCUUCCGGAGGGAGGACGCGGAUAUGCUCCUCGCACAAAUGGACGAUGAUAUGCGCGCUGGUUCCACCGUGGUACCUGUUGCGCUCAACAAGGUUAUCCAACUGAAGUCUGAUGGUGUGGCAUUUAGAUUUCUUCCUGAUCCUUCUCAGGUGGCUGAUGCAAUUAAGUUGAUGCAAGAUGGAGGGGAAUUUUUGAAUGAGGGGUUUCCAGGAGUUCCUGUUUUCCAGUCAAGGAGCCUUGUUCUGAGGAAUGAUAACAAGAGAUAUCGUCCAGUUUUCUUCAGAAAGGAGGACUUAGACAAGUCACUGCACCGAGCAUCUAGUGACCAGCAAAGUCCUAUCCCUGCUGUUAGGAUUGGUGACACACAGGUUUCUUCUUUGGAGGAUAUCAUCACAUCAAUGAAGGAUAGCUCCUCCUCGAAAUGGGAUGAUGCCGUUUUUGUUCCUCCAGGUUUCGACAUAGCUAUUGGCUCAGAGCCAUCACGCCUCAACAAGUAG
RNAcentral lists this ribosomal RNA (855 nucleotides) under Triticum aestivum (bread wheat). RNAcentral describes it as "partial small subunit ribosomal RNA". The record is from RNAcentral. Lineage: Eukaryota; Viridiplantae; Streptophyta; Magnoliopsida; Poales; Poaceae.